This 253-nucleotide ribosomal RNA is filed under the name uncultured bacterium. RNAcentral describes it as "partial 16S ribosomal RNA". It matches the Rfam family "Bacterial small subunit ribosomal RNA", at positions 524 to 776 of the family's 1533-position model. The record is from RNAcentral.
UACGUAGGGUGCAAGCGUUGUCCGGAAUUAUUGGGCGUAAAGAGCUCGUAGGCGGUCUGUCGCGUCGGCUGUGAAAACCCGCGGCUUAACCGCGGGCUUGCAGUUGAUACGGGCAGGCUAGAGUUCGGUAGGGGAGACUGGAAUUCCUGGUGUAGCGGUGAAAUGCGCAGAUAUCAGGAGGAACACCAGUGGCGAAGGCGAGUCUCUGGACAUUUACUGACGCUGAGGCACGAAAGCCAGGGGAGCAAACGGG